AAACCCUUUAACGAGGACCUAUUAGAGGGCAAGUCUGGUGCCAGCAGCCGCGGUAAUUCCAGCUCUCAAGGUGUAUAUCGCCAUUGCUGCGGUUAAAAAGCUCGUAGUUGGAUCUGCGCCUUCGGACUCGGUCCUCCCAACGGGUGCGAACUGAGCUCCAAGGCUACUACUGCUGGUUUUCCCUUGAUGCUCUUCACUGGGUGUCUUGGGUGGCUAGCGAGUUUACUUUGAAAAAAAUUAGAGUGCUCAAAACAGGCUAUUGCCUGAAUACCGGUGCAUGGAAUAAUAGAAUAGGAUCUCGGUCCUAUUUUGUUGGUUUUCGGAACUGAGAUAAUGGUUAAGAGGGACAGACGGGGGCAUUCGUAUCGCUGCGUGAGAGGUGAAAUUCUUGGACCGCAGCGAGACGCCCAACUGCGAAAGCAUUUGCCAAGAAUGUCUUCGUUAAUCAAGAACGAAAGUCAGAGGUUCGAAGGCGAUCAGAUACCGCCCUAGUUCUGACCGUAAACGAUGCCAACUAGCGAUCCGCCGGUGGUAAUUACGCCCCGGCGGGGAGCUUCCCGGAAACGAAAGUCUUCCGGUUCCGGGGGAAGUAUGGUUGCAAAGCUGAAACUUAAAGGAAUUGACGGAAGGGCACCACCAGGAGUGGAGCUUGCGGCUUAAUUUGACCCAACACGGGAAAACUCACCCGGCCCGGACACCGUAAGGAUUGACAGAUUGAGAGCUCUUUCUUGAUUCGGUGGUUGGUGGUGCAUGGCCGUUCUUAGUUGGUGGAGCGAUUUGUCUGGUUUAUUCCGAUAACGAACGAGACUCUGGCCUACUAACUAGUGACAGAAUUAUUGCUGUUCUGGUUACUUCUUAGAGGGACAAGUGGUGUUCAGCCACACGAAAUUGAGCAAUAACAGGUCUGUGAUGCCCUUAGAUGUCCGGGGCUGCACGCGUGCUACACUGGAGGAAACAGCAUGCAAAACCAUUGCCGAGAGGCAUUGGUAAACCCAAGAAAAUCUUCCGUGAUCGGGAUUGGGAAUUGCAAUUAUUUCCCUUGAACGAGGAAUUCCCAGUAAGUGUGGGUCAUCAGCUCGCGCUGAUUACGUCCCUGCCCUUUGUACACACCGCCCGUCGCUGCCCGGGACUGAGCCGUUUCGAGAAAAGCGGGGACUGCUGCUGUUGGGGCUUUCGGGCCUUGGCUUCGGUGGAAACCGCUU
RNAcentral lists this ribosomal RNA (1202 nucleotides) under metagenome. Its description in RNAcentral is "SSU rRNA". It matches the Rfam family "Eukaryotic small subunit ribosomal RNA", at positions 527 to 1759 of the family's 1831-position model. The record is from RNAcentral.